This 1916-nucleotide long non-coding RNA is filed under the name Sus scrofa (pig). Its description in RNAcentral is "lncRNA (ENSSSCG00000057678.1)". The record is from RNAcentral. Lineage: Eukaryota; Metazoa; Chordata; Mammalia; Artiodactyla; Suidae.
AGCUGGUGGAGAUUAAAUGAGUUACUAUAUGUAAGGUGCUGUAUCACAAGCUGCCUGACAUAUAGUAAGUACUAUAUAUGUUUGUUAAAUCAUUACAAAUAAAUGGGAUAUCAUACUUGUAUGUUAUGAAUUCUUACUAGUAAAUCUGUAAGGUAAGUAUGCUACUAUUUUUACUAACUAGGACUCAUGUUAUAUGGUUUGCCUAAGGCUGGCAUGGUUUGCUGGUAUGGAAAACAUAUUCUGUUCCACAUACCAGAGCACGCUCAGGGUUUCUAUAUGAGAAUACCUAACAGACAGUAGAAAUGGACUCAUUAUUAGGAUAAGUGCUGAGGCUCUGUAGUUGAAACUCCUUCACAUUGAGGUAGUUGUUGAUGACAUGGGAUGCCUGCAGUUGCCAAGAGAGUCUAUAGAAGAAAAGAUUGAAUAUUGGAGCUGGUGAGUGAGAGUGGGUAGGAGCAGAUAGAGAGAUGGGACAUAAAACAGGAAGGUGUGGAGUACAGAAAAGGCAUAGUUAAAAGAUGACUCCCCCAUUCUUUGGGAAGUGAAGUGGGACAAAAUCAGAGCAGGGAGCUGGGAUAGUGAUGGCUGGGUCCCUUGUGACCUUGGUGGGAAUGGUGGCACUAGUUUGGUAAAGGUAGAAUCUGAUUUUCAAGGGCUUAAGAAGAGAAGCAAUAAAUUCCAUGAAAGUAAACUGUUCUUUUAAGAAGUUUGGCAAUUAAAGGUAGCUAACUAUGGAAGAAACAGGUAAGGGAUCCCUUUUCAACAGAGGCAAUUGAGUUUGACCUCUAGGAGAGGAAAGGCAAAGACUAAAGAAAUAGUGGAGAAGCUGGAAAGAGCAGGCUAGCAGAGGUAGGUCAGGAGCAUGGGUGCUGGGGGGGUUGGGCUCAGUAGGGGUGCUGCUUUAGGAUUGGAGGGAGAAAAGAGUCUAUGUACAGUAUCUUAUGACAUUGCAUGUGGAUGGAGAGAAAGUUGAGGCAGUUCACUUACAAUCCAAUCUUUGUAGAGUGGGCAAGGAAGAUGUUGGGGAAGUCAGAAGUAUGUUUGAGAACAUGAAAGAAUUGGAGGGAGUUUUGGAUGUCUUUUAGAGAUAAAAUGAAAAGGGGAUUGAAUAGUGAUGGCCAGUGCCUAGGACUGAUUGAUUCAAGUGAGGUGUGUUUUUUUUUUUUUUUUUUUUUUUUAAGGGCCAGGCUAGGGGUUGAAUUGGAGCUGUAGCUGCUGGCCUACACCACAGCUUACUGCAACGCCAAAACCUUAACCCACUGAGUGAGGUUGGGGAUCGAACCUGCAUCCUCAUGAGUACUAGUCACAUUUGUUUCUGCUGAGCCAUGGUGGAAACUCCCAAGUAAGGGUUUUUAUGGAAAGUCAAGAUUACUAGGGAAUUUCAGAGAGCAUUUGGUUGGAAAUAGUUAACUAUAGGCUCUGAAGAGGAGGCUGUAUAGGCUAGGUUAAUGCUUCUCAUACGUCCCCUGUAAAAUAUGCAUAAUGACCGUGAAGAAGAAGGGAAACUUAUCUCCAAGGCUUGGGGAUUUACAUCAAAGUAGCCCAUUACAGUUCUGAAGUCUUGAGUUUUAUUUUCAAAAUAUUUAAAAUUCCAUGAUGGCUCUGCAUUUGUUUUAAAUUUAGGUAUUAAGCUAUUUAUCAUUGACUAAACUAAACAGUUAAAAAAAGAUAUGCCAGAGUUCCCGUUGUGGUGCAGUGGUUAACGAAUCCAACUAGGAACCAUGAGGUUGCAGGUUUGAUUCCUGGCCUUGCUCAGUGGGUUAAGGAUCUGGCAUUGCCAUGAGCUGUGGUGUAGUUUGCAGACGUGGCUCGGAUCCCUUGUUGCUGUGGCUCUGGCGUAGGCUGGCAGCUACAGCUCGGAUUAGACCCCUAGCCUGGGAACCUCCAUAUGCUGUGGGAGCGGACCAAGAAAAAUG